AGCAGUCGCCGCGGUAAUACGAAGGGUGCAAGCGUUAAUCGGAAUUACUGGGCGUAAAGGGUGCGUAGGCGGUUGUUAAGACAGAUGUGAAAUCCCCGGGCUCAACCUGGGAACUGCAUUUGUGACUGGCAAGCUAGAGUCUGGCAGAGGGGGGUGGAAUUCCGCGUGUAGCAGUGAAAUGCGUAGAUAUGCGGAGGAACACCGAUGGCGAAGGCAGCCCCCUGGGCCAACACUGACGCUCAUGCACGAAAGCGUGGGGAGCAAACAGGAUUAGAUACCCCAGUAGUCCCUGUCUCUUAUACA
This 303-nucleotide ribosomal RNA is filed under the name uncultured bacterium. RNAcentral describes it as "partial 16S ribosomal RNA". It matches the Rfam family "Bacterial small subunit ribosomal RNA", at positions 507 to 808 of the family's 1533-position model. The record is from RNAcentral.